Molecule: ribosomal RNA, 479 nt
Filed under: uncultured Nanoarchaeota archaeon
Lineage: Archaea; Nanobdellati; Nanobdellota
Description: bacterial SSU rRNA
Rfam family: Archaeal small subunit ribosomal RNA
Source: RNAcentral
UCCCGUUGAUCCUGCGGGAGGCCACCGGCUAUCCCCGUCCGGCUAACCCGUGGAAGGCGAGGGAGCCCGGGUAAGGGUUCCCGCCGCACGGGUGAGUAACACGUCGGUAACCUACCCUCGGGACGGGGAUAACCCCGGGAAACUGGGGAUAAUCCCCGAUAGGGGAUGGGUGCUGGAAGGCCCCAUCCCCGAGAGGGGCUGGGGGUAUUUCCUCCCCCAGCCCGCCCGAGGAUGGGCCGGCGGCCUAUCAGGUAGUUGGCGGGGUAAUGGCCCGCCAAGCCGAAGACGGGUAGGGGCUGUGAGAGCGGGAGCCCCCAGAUCGGCACUGAGACAAGGGCCGAGGCCCUACGGGGCGCACCAGGGGCGAAACCUCCGCAAUGCGGGAAACCGUGAACGGGGGGACGGGGAGUGCCGGCGGGCUUUUGCUCGCCGGCUUUUGGGCGAGUGUAAACAGCUUCCCCGAAUAAGCGGUGGGCAAG